GACGAACGCUGGCGGCGUGCUUAACACAUGCAAGUCGAACGGUGAAGCCCCAGCUUGCUGGUGUGGAUCAGUGGCGAACGGGUGAGUAACACGUGAGCAACCUGCCCCUGACUCUGGAAUAAGCGCUGGAAACGGCGUCUAAUACUGGAUACGAGAAGGGUCCGCAUGGGCACUUUCUGGAAAGUUUUUCGGUUGGGGAUGGGCUCGCGGCCUAUCAGCUUGUUGGUGAGGUAAUGGCUCACCAAGGCGACGACGGGUAGCCGGCCUGAGAGGGCGACCGGCCAAACUGGGACUGAGACACGGCCCAGACUCCUACGGGAGGCAGCAGUGGGGAAUAUUGCACAAUGGGCGAAAGCCUGAUGCAGCGACGCCGCGUGAGGGAUGACGGCCUUCGGGUUGUAAACCGCUUUCGCCUGUGACGAAGCGUAAGUGACGGUAAUGGGUAAAGAAGCACCGGCUAACUACGUG
This 468-nucleotide ribosomal RNA is filed under the name uncultured bacterium. Its description in RNAcentral is "partial 16S ribosomal RNA". It matches the Rfam family "Bacterial small subunit ribosomal RNA", at positions 28 to 507 of the family's 1533-position model. The record is from RNAcentral.